AUAAUGGGUCAGCGACUUAUAUUCUGUAGCAAGGUUAACCGAAUAGGGGAGCCGAAGGGAAACCGAGUCUUAACUGGGCGUUAAGUUGCAGGGUAUAGACCCGAAACCCGGUGAUCUAGCCAUGGGCAGGUUGAAGGUUGGGUAACACUAACUGGAGGACCGAACCGACUAAUGUUGAAAAAUUAGCGGAUGACUUGUGGCUGGGGGUGAAAGGCCAAUCAAACCGGGAGAUAGCUGGUUCUCCCCGAAAGCUAUUUAGGUAGCGCCUCGUGAAUUCAUCUCCGGGGGUAGAGCACUGUUUCGGCAAGGGGGUCAUCCCGACUUACCAACCCGAUGCAAACUGCGAAUACCGGAGAAUGUUAUCACGGGAGACACACGGCGGGUGCUAACGUCCGUCGUGAAGAGGGAAACAACCCAGACCGCCAGCUAAGGUCCCAAAGUCAUGGUUAAGUGGGAAACGAUGUGGGAAGGCCCAGACAGCCAGGAUGUUGGCUUAGAAGCAGCCAUCAUUUAAAGAAAGCGUAAUAGCUCACUGGUCGAGUCGGCCUGCGCGGAAGAUGUAACGGGGCUAAACCAUGCACCGAAGCUGCGGCAGCGACGCUUAUGCGUUGUUGGGUAGGGGAGCGUUCUGUAAGCCUGUGAAGGUGUGCUGUGAGGCAUGCUGGAGGUAUCAGAAGUGCGAAUGCUGACAUAAGUAACGAUAAAGCGGGUGAAAAGCCCGCUCGCCGGAAGACCAAGGGUUCCUGUCCAACGUUAAUCGGGGCAGGGUGAGUCGACCCCUAAGGCGAGGCCGAAAGGCGUAGUCGAUGGGAAACAGGUUAAUAUUCCUGUACUUGGUGUUACUGCGAAGGGGGGACGGAGAAGGCUAUGUUGGCCGGGCGACGGUUGUCCCGGUUUAAGCGUGUAGGCUGGUUUUCCAGGCAAAUCCGGAAAAUCAAGGCUGAGGCGUGAUGACGAGGCACUACGGUGCUGAAGCAACAAAUGCCCUGCUUCCAGGAAAAGCCUCUAAGCAUCAGGUAACAUCAAAUCGUACCCCAAACCGACACAGGUGGUCAGGUAGAGAAUACCAAGGCGCUUGAGAGAACUCGGGUGAAGGAACUAGGCAAAAUGGUGCCGUAACUUCGGGAGAAGGCACGCUGAUAUGUAGGUGAAGUCCCUCGCGGAUGGAGCUGAAAUCAGUCGAAGAUACCAGCUGGCUGCAACUGUUUAUUAAAAACACAGCACUGUGCAAACACGAAAGUGGACGUAUACGGUGUGACGCCUGCCCGGUGCCGGAAGGUUAAUUGAUGGGGUUAGCGCAAGCGAAGCUCUUGAUCGAAGCCCCGGUAAACGGCGGCCGUAACUAUAACGGUCCUAAGGUAGCGAAAUUCCUUGUCGGGUAAGUUCCGACCUGCACGAAUGGCGUAAUGAUGGCCAGGCUGUCUCCACCCGAGACUCAGUGAAAUUGAACUCGCUGUGAAGAUGCAGUGUACCCGCGGCAAGACGGAAAGACCCCGUGAACCUUUACUAUAGCUUGACACUGAACAUUGAGCCUUGAUGUGUAGGAUAGGUGGGAGGCUU
This 1560-nucleotide ribosomal RNA is filed under the name Escherichia coli. RNAcentral describes it as "partial 23S ribosomal RNA". It matches the Rfam family "Bacterial large subunit ribosomal RNA", at positions 612 to 2157 of the family's 2925-position model. Lineage: Bacteria; Pseudomonadati; Pseudomonadota; Gammaproteobacteria; Enterobacterales; Enterobacteriaceae. The record is from RNAcentral.